UGGGGAAUAUUGCGCAAUGGGGGAAACCCUGACGCAGCAACGCCGCGUGAGUGAUGAAGGCCUUCGGGUCGUAAAGCUCUGUCGGAGGGGAAGAAACUAGGGAUGGCUAAUAUCCAUUCUUAUUGACGGUACCCUCAAAGGAAGCACCGGCUAACCACGUGCCAGCAGCCGCGGUAAUACGUGGGGUGCAAGCGUUGUUCGGAAUUACUGGGCGUAAAGCGCGUGUAGGCGGCCCAUUAUGUCAGGUGUGAAAGCCCUCGGCCUAACCGAGGAAGUGCGCCUGAAACUGAUAGGCUUGAGUACGAGAGAGGAGGACGGAAUUCCCAGUGUAGAGGUGAAAUUCGUAGAUAUUGGGAGGAACACCGGCGGCGAAAGCGGUUCUCUGGAUCGAUACUGACGCUAAGACGCGAAAGCGUGGGGAGCAAACAGG
This 430-nucleotide ribosomal RNA is filed under the name uncultured bacterium. RNAcentral describes it as "bacterial SSU rRNA". It matches the Rfam family "Bacterial small subunit ribosomal RNA", at positions 355 to 776 of the family's 1533-position model. The record is from RNAcentral.